GGCGGCCCCCGGGGCAGAGNCNGCCNCUCGGAUGCGGAAGCGUGGGGAGCAAACAGGAUUAGAUACCCUGGUAGUCCACGCCGUAAACGAUGUCUACUUGGAGGUUGUGGCCUUGAGCCGUGGCUUUCGGAGCUAACGCGUUAAGUAGACCGCCUGGGGAGUACGGUCGCAAGAUUAAAACUCAAAUGAAUUGACGGGGGCCCGCACAAGCGGUGGAGCAUGUGGUUUAAUUCGAUGCAACGCGAAGAACCUUACCUACUCUUGACAUCUACAGAAGCCAGCGGAGACGCAGGUGUGCCUUCGGGAACUGUAAGACAGGUGCUGCAUGGCUGUCGUCAGCUCGUGUUGUGAAAUGUUGGGUUAAGUCCCGCAACGAGCGCAACCCUUAUCCUUGUUUGCCAGCACUUCGGGUGGGAACUCCAGGGAGACUGCCGGUGAUAAGCCGGAGGAAGGUGGGGACGACGUCAAGUCAUCAUGGCCCUUACGAGUAGGGCUACACACGUGCUACAAUGGCGCAUACAGAGGGCGGCCAACUUGCGAAAGUGAGCGAAUCCCAAAAAGUGCGUCGUAGUCCGGAUUGGAGUCUGCAACUCGACUCCAUGAAGUCGGAAUCGCUAGUAAUCGUGGAUCAGAAUGCCACGGUGAAUACGUUCCCGGGCCUUGUACACACCGCCCGUCACACCAUGGGAGUGGGCUGCAAAAGAAGUGGGUAGUUUAACCUUCGGGAGGACGCUCACCACUUUGUGGUUCAUGACUGGGGUGAAGUCGUAACAAGGUAACCG
RNAcentral lists this ribosomal RNA (782 nucleotides) under uncultured bacterium. RNAcentral describes it as "bacterial SSU rRNA". It matches the Rfam family "Bacterial small subunit ribosomal RNA", at positions 720 to 1502 of the family's 1533-position model. The record is from RNAcentral.